RNA transcript from Apis mellifera (honey bee), 2794 nucleotides. It is a transcript of the gene named RING finger and SPRY domain-containing protein 1, with no coding region annotated. NCBI's taxonomy places the organism in Eukaryota, Metazoa, Arthropoda, Insecta, Hymenoptera, Apidae. The record is from RefSeq and is a predicted model, not a curated record. The transcript is spliced from 13 exons.
AAAAAGACAUAUUGACGUAGAAGGCUUAUCUCAUAUAUGAUUUAGAAUUGAUCACCUCACGUAAAAUAUAGUAUAGUUCGUGUAUUCUCUUAUGUUAAGAUUACUAUUUUGAAGAUUAUCGAGAACAUAACCUAAGGAAUAUGAUUUAAAAUAUAAUAUAAGUUUAAAUUUUUAUUUUAUUGCAAAAAGUACAAGAUGGAUAUGAUUUUUGAAAUUAUUAUGUGAAAUAGAUAAUCAAGAAAAGUUGCUUAGAAAUUAAGUAAUUUUGUUUCUAAUUUGAUAAAAACAUAACCAAAUGACAGCUUUCAAACACAUAGGCUAUCUUGACUUAUUUAAAAUUAUAAUUGUAAGCUGAUUUUUAUUCGUUACAUUGGAUACAUCAAUUAAUAAUACACAUGUUACAUGAUUGUGUAAAUAUUACUUAAUGAAUAUAUGUGAUAGAAUAUCUUUAAAAGUAUCUUUAUAAACGUGUGGGAAUGGGCAAUUGCUUGUGCAAAGAUAUUCCUGAAGAACUUGAAGUACAUCAUGGACAUAAUCAUGCAAAUACUGAAAAUACUAUAUUACCAGAAUCAAAUGUAGGCACAGUUGCCUCUAAUGAUAUGAACAUUACAACUUUUAAAUUUCCAACUUCAGCUAACAUUGACAAAUUAGUACUUGAAACUCUUGGAGUAAUUGGUUCUCUUGUUGAUAAUGAGCAAGAACCACCACCUGCACUGUUAAAAUUACAUGCUAUUGCUGAUAAAGAAGAUGGAUGGAUACAAGUUGUGAGUUCAAUGGUUAAUAUUAUUCCUAUGCAUAAUCCACUAGGUCCUUCGGUUAUCACUCUUUUAUUAGAUGAUUGUCCAUUACCAUCAAAGGAAUUAGUUUUACGAUUGUCACACAUGUUUCAAUUAUCUCAAAAACUUGGAAAUAUACAAACCAGUGCAACUCAGCAACGUAACAUCUGUGUUGUAUUGGGUUGUAUAGCAGAAAAAUUAACUGGCCCCAGUAGUAUUGCUAUAUUAUCCGAUGAAACUUUGGACUAUCUUAUUUCAAAUCUUAAGGAAAAUAUUGAUCCUUAUGUGGUACUGUAUUCAUUAAUAGCUUUGGAAAAAUUUGCACAAACAAGUGAGAAUAAAAUAACUAUAAAAAAACGUUUAAUGGCAGAAAAACCAAAUCCAUUAUUAGAAUUGGAAAAAUGGGCAACAGAAACUCAUUAUGUACGUCGUCAAGUAGGUUUUUGUGCGCGAUGGUGUUUAGAUAAUUUGCUUAUAAUGGAAGGUAGAAAAUAUUCUCAUGAUUCAGUUGAUAUGUCUGGUAUUAAUGUAAUGUUAAAUACAAAAGAUGUAAGCGAGUACCUGAAAAUAUCACCUAAUGGCUUAGAAGCUCGGUGUGAUGCAUAUUCAUUUGAAAGUGUAAGAUGUACAUUUCAAGUAGAUUCGGGAAUUUGGUAUUAUGAAACACUUGUUAUAACUACAGGUGUAAUGCAAAUUGGAUGGGCUACUAAAAAUAGCACAUUUUUAAAUCACGAAGGAUAUGGCAUAGGGGAUGAUGAAUAUUCUUUGGCCUAUGAUGGUUGUCGUCGAUUAAUUUGGUAUAAUGCAAAGAGUGAAAGAAAUCAUGAUAGACCUUGUUGGAAAGCUGGUGAUAUUUUGGGUUGUUUAUUAGAUUUGAACAAAUUGGAAAUAAUAUUUUCCAUAAAUGGUGUACCAUUGAAACCAUGUGUUCAAGUUUUCAAAACAGUACGGUCUGGAUUUUUUGCAGCAGCUAGUUUUAUGUCAUUCCAACAAUGUCUUUUUAAUUUUGGAAAUGUACCAUUUAAGUAUCCUCCUACCGAUCGCGAAUAUAAAAAAUUUAACGAUUAUGCUAGUUUGAAGCCUGAAGAUAAAGUUGUGCUUCCUAGACACAUAUAUCUAGAUCAAUUGAGGAAACUUAGCGUUAGAGAAGAUUCAUGUACAUUGUGUUUUGACCAAAGAGCUUCAGUAAGAUUGCUACCUUGCAAUCAUAGAGGAUUUUGCCAAACGUGUUCGAAUCAAUUGAUAGAGUGUCCAAUGUGUAGAGCUACAAUCGAAGAAGUAGCAACCGAUAACACAUGACAUCACAUAAGCGUAUCAAUAUUUAAUACUCUUCCAUUACCUUUCUCAUAUUAUAUAAUUCUCAGGAAUUGUCGCGAGUAUUUUAAAUCAAGAGAAGGACUACAAAUCACAGAAAGCAAAGUUGCAUUUAAAUAUCACAUCUCUGAGAUAUAUCAUUUUGAAUGUUGCAUUCAUAUACGUAGAUAUAAUUAUAUAUAAAUUAUCACAUUGCAAAUUCAAAUUACAGAAGAAUAUCACCUUCUACUAUUUAUCGGCUGUGCAAAUUAUUUUCCCUAGGUUUUACCUAAGUAUGCCUUACAUCUAAUUAAAUAUUUAAAGUAAAAUAGUGAGAUAAAAUUUAAAUAUUUUUUUUACGCUAUACAGAUUAGAAACAAAGAAUUUGCAAUUUACAUCUGAAUUGCUACGAAUAUACAUUUCCAAUUUAGUAUUUGUGACUGGUUCACAAAUACAUAUGUAGUGGACACUAUUUUGUCUAUGAACGUGAAAUUCUUUUCUGUUAAAUUAUGAAAAUCUGUAUCACAUGUCAAUAUCGACAAACAAAUAACUGAAUUUGUGCUGUAAUGUAAGAUUGAUUUUAGAAAACUGUAAAAUAUUAAUAUCUUGUAGUAUAUGAAAAAAAAUAUAUAUAUAAAUAUAUAUAUAUAUAUAUGUGUAUGUAUAUAUAUAUAAGUAUAUAUAUAUAAUCAUAUUAUAUUCUUAUGAAGAUAUAAAAUGUUAUC